RNAcentral lists this long non-coding RNA (499 nucleotides) under Coturnix japonica (Japanese quail). RNAcentral describes it as "lncRNA (ENSCJPG00005011123.1)". Lineage: Eukaryota; Metazoa; Chordata; Aves; Galliformes; Phasianidae. The record is from RNAcentral.
AAUGGCUUUGUGGUUUCUGAGCUCAACUCAAAAGGAAAGGAAUUUUCUGCUAUCACCCAUUAAUUUGGAAAGUUGUAGGGCAUUUGUAUUAAAACAAAAAGGAUGUGUGUAACUCCUUUUUUCUUUUUUCUUUUUCUGUACGUGCCUUGGGCUGCUGGAACCAGCAGAAUGGGAAAAAAAGUUCCCUUGACUGAGUGACAUAUAUUUUUCCAAUAUUAAAAACAACCAUUUAUAUGUUUCUUUUCAGGAAGGAGCUCAAAGUGUGUUGUUAAUGGGAAGGGGAAAAAAAAAAGCAAACCAGCUCUUCUAUCUGGAAGAUUGUGAAAUAUUUCCCAACAUUUCACAUACUGAGACCAGAAGUAGGGAGAAGACUCACAAUGGAAGGACCUUUUCUGUCUUUGAAUGUGGUGUUCUACUCCUCCAUAACACCGAGAUGAUCAGAGCCCUGGCAGGGCAUUAGUCUGUCCAAGUGCCAGCAGAGAAGCUCCAACCUGACAGC